RNAcentral lists this ribosomal RNA (236 nucleotides) under uncultured bacterium. Its description in RNAcentral is "partial 16S ribosomal RNA". It matches the Rfam family "Bacterial small subunit ribosomal RNA", at positions 104 to 334 of the family's 1533-position model. The record is from RNAcentral.
CGGGGUAGGAGUAACGCGUGAGGAGCCUGCCUCAAAGAGGGGGACAACAGUUGGAGACGACUGCUAAUACCGCAUAAGCCCACGGGUCGGCAUCGACCUGAGGGAAAAGGAGCAAUCCGCUUUGAGAUGGCCUCGCGUCCGAUUAGCUAGUUGGUGAGGUAAUGGCCCACCAAGGCGACGAUCGGUAGCCGGACUGAGAGGUUGAACGGCCACAUUGGGACUGAGACACGGCCCAG